Molecule: long non-coding RNA, 3530 nt
Filed under: Capsicum annuum
Lineage: Eukaryota; Viridiplantae; Streptophyta; Magnoliopsida; Solanales; Solanaceae
Description: long non-coding RNA (CANN_LNC003408)
Source: RNAcentral
AAGAUCACCUAAUAUUUUAACCAGUUUCUGUUGAUCAACAUAGUUAAAUAUUUUCCAUCAUUUGAUUAACUUUUUGGGCACCUUGACAACCAUCAGAACUCUAGACUUGGUGGACAAAUCCAUCCUGUAAUAACACAUAAGACGUUACCUCAAAAAUUCAACAGGAGUAGAAGAUUCCCAACCCUUGGAAUUUUUGACGCCAACAUGUGUCGAUGGGACAGACCACAUUCAUGACUCCAAUUUGCCGAACAGAAGCACUGAGCGAAAUCAAUCUACUUGGCAAACCACUCCAGAUUAUGGGACGAGAGACCUAGGCUAAUACUAAGACCAACGCCGACACAAAAAAUUUAUCGGACCCACCGAGGAUUGCCUACGUAUCCCAACCCGAGGGAAGGGAAUCAGGUAUGCGUAGUUCAAUCAGAUUGAACAAAUAACGAUUUACUAGUAAAUUGGUUCUAACUUAAGAGACACUAUCUAAGACAAACGAAAAAAACUUUUGGAUUUUCAGCUAGACACUGACAACACCAAUUAUGAAGAAAAAAUCUUUUUGGCAUUUUUGUGUUUUUUUGACAAAUAAGUAGAAAAGACAAACAAAACUUUUUUUUUUGAAUUUACAGUACUUUAGAAAAUGUAAAAAAAAAUCUUUUUGAGUUUUUGGAUUGUGAAAAGCAAAAGUCAUAACGAAUUCUAAAAUAAACUACGACAUUCCUCAUUUUUUUUUUCAUUCUUUUCGACUCACUUUUUCUAUUUUUCAUUAUUAUUAUUAUUAUUAUUAUUAUUUUCGUUUUUACCUACGCACCUUACUCCUAAAUUUUUUAAAAAAAAAAAAAUCAGUCCGUCAAAUGACUACGUUACCCUUAAAAAUGCAACAGUUAGCACGUAGGAAUGCUUUAGAGGUGAGUCUCCUACAAAGGGCCAUGUGGGUCCCGCUAGGUCUCAGUAUGAUGCACAUAAGCAUGACCUAAAGGCUGACCUAUGUCGUGGUUCACUAACAAGGUUGUUCGGGGGAGCGUAUGGUCGAUAGUGGCUGAUUUACUUUCCACCUACUCCAUAACACCGACGGCUCCCCCCCUAAAAUAAGGGUGACUCAACUAGAGGUCGUGUACAACACGUGUACUACGGACUUGUUGCAGAAAGAAGGCCUGGGGGUAGACACAUGAUGCGAUAAAUAAUAUAAACAAAGAGCACGAAAAAGCACAAAAAGUGAAAAUAACACAAACAAUAACCACAAAUAAUGUUUAUCCACUCGUAAUGCCAAACAAAGCCGAUACGACUCCAAAAAUAGGUUGAAUUCUGAAAACUUGUCAUACUCUCCAGCAGAGUCGCCAGAAGCUGUCACACCCCUUUUUUGCGCGUACUUCAAAAAUGUGUAUAUUUUAAAGUUCGAAAGGGCUUUAUUAUUUAAGUGACAAGAAAUGAAAAUUUAUUUCGGAAAAGGAUUAUUUGCAUUUUUUAUUCAGAGUCGCCACUUGGCAUAAUCCGAUGUGCCAAGUCACUUUUGAAAAAUCCUUUUCGAAAACCAUUUAACUCUUAAACUGGUUUGCGAACAGAGAUUCCGGCUAAGGAAUUCUGUUGACCGAGGGGAAGGUGUUAGGCACCCCUCGAUCCCGUGGUUCAACCACGGUCGCUUGGUAGAGUGUAUCGACUAUUUUUGACACUAUGAAAUGUAUAAACCACACAAAAGAACGCAAAAUAAUCAAACAAUAAACAAAACAAAGCAGUCCAAAAACGUAUAGUCCAGUCUAAUUAUUCAGUCCAAAAAAAACAAAUACGAAAAUAUAAAUCCUAACCUAAACUAAAUCUAGACUAAGCUCCAAUGUCUUACCCGACGCCGCGGGCCUUCAUCACGAUCAUUUUCCGCCAACAUGAUACGUCGGGGCAUUCCCCGGUGAAUAAAUACAAGUGAUCUCGGGACAUUCCCCGACUCAAUAAAUACAUCUGAAUUAAACACGAUAAACUAGAAAGAGACAUUCACACGCACAUUCCAACAUUCAACCAAAAUAGCAAGCUUUAAAAUUUGUCUACCCGAGCUUGCUAUUUACCUACCCGCUCGACAACAUACCGCAUUCAACAUCAACAAUGUAUCAAAAAUAUCAAAUAUUUACUUUUAUCAUUUUUUCGAUUCCCGUCCCCAAAUUUAUUUUUUUAUACUAAGUUUUCACAAUUCACCAUUUCUACUUCAGCGACCCUCAAUCACUUUUCAACAAAAUUAAACAAACGAGUCCACAUCAAAAUAACAGACAAUCACCAAACAAGACAACAUACGUUCAUCACCAACCAGUAUCAAACAACACACAAACAUCCAAAUUGAAAUACGAAACAUCUCAAAUAAUAAAAUAAAUAAGAGAAAGUGUAGAGUUGGACCUCGAUUGAAGCUUUUAUCACGCCAAAAUAUAUAAUCAAAAGCCAAAGUCGGAUCCAAAACUCUCGAUUUGAACACCUCGACUGACGAACAGAUCCAACUCGAUAUGGGAAAACGACCUCCGAUCAGAUUUCCAACUAAAAAAAUAGCAAUAUAACACCCAAACUGAAUAUUGACUCGAUUUGUCUUGGAAAUUCCCAAUGAACCUGAUAUGGAUAAUAAACCCCGCAAUGGAUGAUCCCAAAAGUUGAUAAAAUCUAGCAGAAAACUAAGCACCAGCACGAUUCAAACUCCGGUGAGUCGCCGGUGACGACAAUGACCAGAGCAGCCAGUCGCCGGUCGGAUUUCAUCCAAAAUCGAAGGAAAACAGAGGAAGUUUGGUCGUUUAUAUGCUCUCGGUCGACGGGGUUACUGUUUUUGAUGGAUUUCCGAGCGAUUGGAUUGUGGGUCGCUAUCAGCGAUGUUUUUCUGACGGUUUUGACAACAGUGAAGGUAGAAACUACCCCUAUGAAUCACCGAAGCUCCGGCGAGCUCGGGUCGCCGGAGCAGACCUCUCUUCACUGAAAAAUGCGAAAGUCCGAGAUAACAGUGUCAAAAAUCUCGUCGAACCCGAACUAACCUCAUCGGAAUCAGCUAGUUUGGUCGCUUGAUUCAACCUAAACGGGCCGGAAUCAACCCGAACAGGCUGAUUUCAGAUCGAUUCAGGUAGUUGGUUCUAGUUUCGGCGACGGAGAUGGGUUUAAUUGAGUUUUUCGAUGAGUUUCGGAGUGAACUCAGAAUGGGUGAAGUGGUUUCCAGUGAAGAAUAGCCGAAAAACUCGAUCUCCGAUCGAUUCCUUCUCUCUCAAACUCCCUCACGUCCGCCUUUACUAUUUUUCGAUUAAACUCUCCUACCCCCCAAUCUCUCUCUGUGUGUGCGUAUGUGUGAAUUAUUGUGAUACUGUGAGAAUGUGUCGUGGUCGGUAACCGGAGCUCCGGUCUCUUUUGUUUCUAUAUAUGAUCAAAAAAAUGAAAACCAAGAAAAAAAUGGUCCCCUCUUCCCAGAUCCGUGUCAUAUGGUGUAUAUGGCAUAGAUAAUUUUGGAGAAGAAAGGAAAAUCCAAUUUUUGAGAUGUGCUCCCCUAUAUUUUCUUUUGGUUGCUGUUGAUAUAUAUGGAUGAUGAUGAUAAU